CCGACUUUAGCUCAGUUGGUAGAGCGGAGGACUGUAGUUGUUUGCUGUCAUCCUUAGGUCGCUGGUUCGAAUCCGGCAAGUCGGA
Molecule: transfer RNA, 85 nt
Filed under: Macleaya cordata
Lineage: Eukaryota; Viridiplantae; Streptophyta; Magnoliopsida; Ranunculales; Papaveraceae
Rfam family: tRNA
About the family: Transfer RNA (tRNA) molecules are approximately 80 nucleotides in length.
Source: Rfam by way of RNAcentral